GAAAAGUUAUUUUAAAAAAAAUUAUAGUCUUGGAGAUUAUCGAUCCUUAAGUUAGGACUUUUCA
This 64-nucleotide transfer RNA is filed under the name Brueelia nebulosa. Its description in RNAcentral is "tRNA-Pro". The record is from RNAcentral. Lineage: Eukaryota; Metazoa; Arthropoda; Insecta; Psocodea; Philopteridae.